ACUCUAAGCGGUGGAUCACUCGGCUCAUGGGUCGAUGAAGAACGCAGCAAACUGUGCGUCAUCGUGUGAACUGCAGGACACAUGAACAUCGACAUUUUGAACGCAUAUCGCAGUCCAUGCUGUUAUGUACUUUAAUUAAUUUUAUAGUGCUGCUUGGACUACAUAUGGUUGAGGGUUGUAAGACUAUGCUAAUUAAGUUGCUUAUAAAUUUUUAUAAGCAUAUGGUAUAUUAUUGGAUAAAUAUAAUAAUUUUUAUUCAUAAUAUUAAAAAAUAAAUGAAAAACAUUAUCUCACAUUUGAAUGUGAAAAACGAAGAGAAAUAUUUCUUUUUCAAUCAAAUAAUACUGAGAAAUGUCUAGCAUAAAAAAUUGAAAUAUUUUUCAUCUAGAAUUGUCUCUUAUUAAUGAUUCGGAAAUAGAAAAAUCUUGGUUAUGUUAUUAUUCUUCGUUGGUUCGUUAAAAAUGGAUAAAUAAAAACUUUGCAUACAAGAAUUAAUAAAAAUGUUAUAACGAAUUUAAUUAAAUGUUUUAUCAUUAUAUAUAAAGAAUUUAUGGCAAGAUAAAGUUAUAUACAACCUCAACUCAUAUGGGACUACCCCCUGAAUUUAAGCAUAUUAAUUAGGGAGGAAAAGAAACUAACAAGGAUUUUCUUAGUAGCGGCGAGCGAAAAGAAAACAGUUCAGCACUAAGUCACUUUGUCUAUAUGGCAAAUGUGAGAUGCAGUGUAUGGAGCGUCAAUAUUCUAGUAUGAGAAAUUAACGAUUUAAGUCCUUCUUAAAUGAGGCCAUUUACCCAUAGAGGGUGCCAGGCCCGUAUAACGUUAAUGAUUACUAGAUGAUGUUUCCAAAGAGUCGUGUUGCUUGAUAGUGCAGCACUAAGUGGGUGGUAAACUCCAUCUAAAACUAAAUAUAACCAUGAGACCGAUAGUAAACAAGUACCGUGAGGGAAAGUUGAAAAGAACUCUGAAUAGAGAGUUAAACAGUACGUGAAACUGCUUAGAGGUUAAGCCCGAUGAACCUGAAUAUCCGUUAUGGAAAAUUCAUCAUUAAAAUUGUAAUAUUUAAAUAAUAUUAUGAGAAUAGUGUGCAUUUUUUCCAUAUAAGGACAUUGUAAUCUAUUAGCAUAUACCAAAUUUAUCAUAAAAUAUAACUUAUAGUUUAUUCCAAUUAAAUUGCUUGCAUUUUAACACAGAAUAAAUGUUAUUAAUUUGAUAAAGUGCUGAUAGAUUUAUAUGAUUACAGUGCGUUAAUUUUUCGGAAUUAUAUAAUGGCAUAAUUAUCAUUGAUUUUUGUGUUUAUUAUAUGCACUUGUAUGAUUAACAAUGCGAAAGAUUCAGGAUACCUUCGGGACCCGUCUUGAAACACGGACCAAGGAGUCUAACAUAUGUGCAAGUUAUUGGGAUAUAAACCUAAUAGCGUAAUUAACUUGACUAAUAAUGGGAUUAGUUUUUUAGCUAUUUAUAGCUAAUUAACACAAUCCCGGGGCGUUCUAUAUAGUUAUGUAUAAUGUAUAUUUAUAUUAUUUAUGCCUCUAACUGGAACGUACCUUGAGCAUAUAUGCUGUGACCCGAAAGAUGGUGAACUAUACUUGAUCAGGUUGAAGUCAGGGGAAACCCUGAUGGAAGACCGAAACAGUUCUGACGUGCAAAUCGAUUGUCAGAAUUGAGUAUAGGGGCGAAAGACCAAUCGAACCAUCUAGUAGCUGGUUCCUUCCGAAGUUUCCCUCAGGAUAGCUGGUGCAUUUUAAUAUUAUAUAAAAUAAUCUUAUCUGGUAAAGCGAAUGAUUAGAGGCCUUAGGGUCGAAACGAUCUUAACCUAUUCUCAAACUUUAAAUGGGUAAGAACCUUAACUUUCUUGAUAUGAAGUUCAAGGUUAUGAUAUAAUGUGCCCAGUGGGCCACUUUUGGUAAGCAGAACUGGCGCUGUGGGAUGAACCAAACGUAAUGUUACGGUGCCCAAAUUAACAACUCAUGCAGAUACCAUGAAAGGCGUUGGUUGCUUAAAACAGCAGGACGGUGAUCAUGGAAGUCGAAAUCCGCUAAGGAGUGUGUAACAACUCACCUGCCGAAGCAACUAGCCCUUAAAAUGGAUGGCGCUUAAGUUGUAUACCUAUACAUUACCGCUAAAGUAGAUGAUUUAUAUUACUUGUGAUAUAAAUUUUGAAACUUUAGUGAGUAGGAAGGUACAAUGGUAUGCGUAGAAGUGUUUGGCGUAAGCCUGCAUGGAGCUGCCAUUGGUACAGAUCUUGGUGGUAGUAGCAAAUAAUCGAAUGAGACCUUGGAGGACUGAAGUGGAGAAGGGUUUCGUGUGAACAGUGGUUGAUCACGAGUUAGUCGGUCCUAAGUUCAAGGCGAAAGCCGAAAAUUUUCAAGUAAAACAAAAAUGCCUAACUAUAUAAACAAAGCGAAUUAUAAUACACUUGAAUAAUUUUGAACGAAAGGGAAUACGGUUCCAAUUCCGUAACCUGUUGAGUAUCCGUUUGUUAUUAAAUAUGGGCCUCGUGCUCAUCCUGGCAACAGGAACGACCAUAAAGAAGCCGUCGAGAGAUAUCGGAAGAGUUUUCUUUUCUGUUUUAUAGCCGUACUACCAUGGAAGUCUUUCGCAGAGAGAUAUGGUAGAUGGGCUAGAAGAGCAUGACAUAUACUGUUGUGUCGAUAUUUUCUCCUCGGACCUUGAAAAUUUAUGGUGGGGACACGCAAACUUCUCAACAGGCCGUACCAAUAUCCGCAGCUGGUCUCCAAGGUGAAGAGUCUCUAGUCGAUAGAAUAAUGUAGGUAAGGGAAGUCGGCAAAUUAGAUCCGUAACUUCGGGAUAAGGAUUGGCUCUGAAGAUUGAGAUAGUCGGGCUUGAUUGGGAAACAAUAACAUGGUUUAUGUGCUCGUUCUGGGUAAAUAGAGUUUCUAGCAUUUAUGUUAGUUACUUGUUCCCCGGAUAGUUUAGUUACGUAGCCAAUUGUGGAACUUUCUUGCUAAAAUUUUUAAGAAUACUAUUUGGGUUAAACCAAUUAGUUCUUAUUAAUUAUAACGAUUAUCAAUUAACAAUCAAUUCAGAACUGGCACGGACUUGGGGAAUCCGACUGUCUAAUUAAAACAAAGCAUUGUGAUGGCCCUAGCGGGUGUUGACACAAUGUGAUUUCUGCCCAGUGCUCUGAAUGUCAAAGUGAAGAAAUUCAAGUAAGCGCGGGUCAACGGCGGGAGUAACUAUGACUCUCUUAAGGUAGCCAAAUGCCUCGUCAUCUAAUUAGUGACGCGCAUGAAUGGAUUAACGAGAUUCCUACUGUCCCUAUCUACUAUCUAGCGAAACCACAGCCAAGGGAACGGGCUUGGAAUAAUUAGCGGGGAAAGAAGACCCUUUUGAGCUUGACUCUAAUCUGGCAGUGUAAGGAGACAUAAGAGGUGUAGAAUAAGUGGGAGAUAUUAGACCUCGGUUUGGUA
RNAcentral lists this ribosomal RNA (3431 nucleotides) under Drosophila melanogaster (fruit fly). RNAcentral's name for it is "eukaryotic LSU rRNA". The stretch from base 572 to 3431 matches the Rfam family "Eukaryotic large subunit ribosomal RNA", at positions 1 to 2493 of the family's 3401-position model. Lineage: Eukaryota; Metazoa; Arthropoda; Insecta; Diptera; Drosophilidae. The record is from RNAcentral.